CGUAGGGUGCGAGCGUUAAUCGGAAUUACUGGGCGUAAAGCGUGCGCAGGCGGUUCGUUAAGUCAGAUGUGAAAGCCCCGGGCUCAACCUGGGAACUGCAUUUGAAACUGGCGGGCUUGAGUGUGGCAGAGGGGGUGGAAUUCCGCGUGUAGCAGUGAAAUGCGUAGAGAUGCGGAGGAACACCGAUGGCGAAGGCAGCCCCCUGGGCCAACACUGACGCUCAGGCACGAAAGCGUGGGGAGCAAACAGGGAUUAGAUACCCUGGUAGUCCACGCCCUAAACGAUGCUCACUAGGUGUUGGGGAAGCGAUUCCUUGGUACCGUAGCUAACGCGUGAAGUGAGCCGCCCGGGGAGUACGGCCGCAAGGUUA
RNAcentral lists this ribosomal RNA (370 nucleotides) under uncultured organism. RNAcentral describes it as "bacterial SSU rRNA". It matches the Rfam family "Bacterial small subunit ribosomal RNA", at positions 526 to 896 of the family's 1533-position model. The record is from RNAcentral.